This 1468-nucleotide ribosomal RNA is filed under the name metagenome. RNAcentral's name for it is "bacterial LSU rRNA". It matches the Rfam family "Bacterial large subunit ribosomal RNA", at positions 1387 to 2925 of the family's 2925-position model. The record is from RNAcentral.
GGAGCUAAGGUGAGGCCGUAGGGCGUAACCGAUGCACAGCAGGUCAACAUUCCUGCACCGGCAGGGGAUUAGGCGACGGGUAACGCAGAGAGAAAAGUGCCUACGUCAUUGAAAGACAGAGCGGAGGCUUCGGCCGAAGCGCAGCACCGGACAAUCUGCCGAGAAAAGCCCGUCGUCGUGCCCCGGCCGCCCGUACCGUAAACCGACACAGGUGGGUGGGUGUAAGCGCACCAAGGCGCGCGAGAGAAACCUCUCUAAGGAACUCGGCACAUUAGCCCCGUAACUUCGGGAGAAGGGGUGCCCCCCUCGGGGGGUCUCAGUAAAUUGCGUUUAGCGACUGUUUAACAAAAACACAGCACUCUGCCAAGUCGUCAAGACGACGUAUAGGGUGUGACACGUGACCAAUGCGGAAAGAUCAAGGUGAGCUGUCAGCCGCAAGGCGAAGCGGCGAACCCAAGUCCCCGUGAAUGUCGGCCGUAACUAUAACGGUCCUAAGGUAGCGAAAUUCCUUGUCGGGUAAGUUCCGACCUGCACGAAUCGUGUAACGACUGAACGACUGUCUCGGAGAGGAUCUCGGCGAAACUGUAAUUGCGGUGAAGAUGCCGCAUGCCCGCAGUAGGACGGAAAGACCCUAUGCACCUUCACUGUAAGCUGGCAUUGGGUUUUGAUUAAUGAUGCGUAGCGUAGGUGGGAGACUUUGAACCGCAGGCUUCGGUUUGCGGGGAGUCGCAAUGUGAAACACCACUCUUCGUUAAUUAGAAUUCUAACCCCGACCUGUCAUCCAGGCGGGGGACAGUGCUUGCCGGUCAGUUUGGCUGGGGCGGCUUCCUCCCAAAUGGUAACGGAGGAGCGCGAAGCUCGGCUCAGCACGGUUGGCAGCCGUGCGACGAGGGUAUGGCUAGAAGCCGGGUUAACUGUGAGACCAACAAGUCAAGCAGAUGCGAAAGCAGGCCCAAAUGAUCCGAUGGUUUAAUGUGGAAUUGCCAUCGCUCAACGGACAAAAGGUACGCUAGGGAUAACAGGCUGAUCGGGCCCAAGAGUUCAUAUCGACGGCCCGGUUUGGCACCUCGAUGUCGGCUCAUCGCAUCCUGGGGCUGGAGAAGGUCCCAAGGGUCCGGCUGUUCGCCGGUUAAAGCGGUACGCGAGCUGGGUUCAGAACGUCGUGAGACAGUUCGGUCCUUAUCCACUGUGGGCGGAGGAAACUUGAGGGGUUCAUUCCUUAGUACGAGAGGACCGGGAAUGACGCACUUCUGGUGUGGCAGUUGUUCCGUCAGGGGCAUCGCUGCGUAGCCAUGUGCGGAAGGGAUAAGCGCUGAAAGCAUCUAAGUGCCAAGCCCAUCCCAAGAUAAUGUUUCCCUGGUCGCAAGGCCCUAAAGACUCCGGGUAGACCACCCGGUUGAUAGGUCAGGCGUGCAAGCGCUGCAAGGCGCUCAGCGGACUGAUACUAAUAUGUCGUGAGGCUUGAUCC